This 450-nucleotide ribosomal RNA is filed under the name uncultured bacterium. Its description in RNAcentral is "partial 16S ribosomal RNA". It matches the Rfam family "Bacterial small subunit ribosomal RNA", at positions 354 to 796 of the family's 1533-position model. The record is from RNAcentral.
GUAGGGAAUCUUCCACAAUGGACGAAAGUCUGAUGGAGCAACGCCGCGUGAGUGAAGAAGGUCUUCGGAUCGUAAAACUCUGUUGUUAGAGAAGAACGUGCAUGAUAGUAACUGAUCAUGUAAUGACGGUAUCUAACCAGAAAGCCACGGCUAACUACGUGCCAGCAGCCGCGGUAAUACGUAGGUGGCAAGCGUUGUCCGGAUUUAUUGGGCGUAAAGGGAACGCAGGCGGUUUUUUAAGUCUGAUGUGAAAGCCUUCGGCUUAACCGAAGAAUAGCAUUGGAAACUGGAAGACUUGAGUGCAGAAGAGGAGAGGUGAAUUCCAUGUGUAGCGGUGAAAUGCGUAGAUAUAUGGAGGAACACCAGUGGCGAAAGCGGCUCUCUGGUCUGUAACUGACGCUGAGGUUCGAAAGCGUGGGUAGCAAACAGGAUUAGAAACCCGGGUAGUCC